This 227-nucleotide ribosomal RNA is filed under the name Symbiodinium sp. CCMP2430. RNAcentral describes it as "partial Bacterial small subunit ribosomal RNA". It matches the Rfam family "Bacterial small subunit ribosomal RNA", at positions 357 to 596 of the family's 1533-position model. Lineage: Eukaryota; Dinophyceae; Suessiales; Symbiodiniaceae. The record is from RNAcentral.
GGGAAUAUUGCACAAUGGGCGGAAGCCUGAUGCAGCAACGCCGCGUGCGGGAUGACGGCCUUCGGGUUGUAAACCGCUUUCGCCUGUGACGAAGCGUGAGUGACGGUAAUGGGUAAAGAAGCACCGGCUAACUACGUGCCAGCAGCCGCGGUAAUACGUAGGUGGCAAGCGUUGUCCGGAAUUAUUGGGCGUAAAGGGCUCGCAGGCGGUUUCUUAAGUCUGAUGUG